UAACAGGAUUAGAUACCCUGGUAGUCCACGCCGUAAACGAUGAUAACUAGCUGUCGGGGCUCUUAGAGCUUCGGUGGCGCAGCUAACGCAUUAAGUUAUCCGCCUGGGGAGUACGGCCGCAAGGUUAAAACUCAAAUGAAUUGACGGGGGCCUGCACAAGCGGUGGAGCAUGUGGUUUAAUUCGAAGCAACGCGCAGAACCUUACCAGCGUUUGACAUGUCCGGACGAUUUCGGGAGACCGAUCUCUUCCCUUCGGGGACUGGAACACAGGUGCUGCAUGGCUGUCGCCAGCUCGUGUCGUGAGAUGUUGGGUUAAGUCCCGCAACGAGCGCAACCCUCGUCCUUAGUUGCCAUCAUUUAGUUGGGCACUCUAAGGAAACCGCCGGUGAUAAGCCGGAGGAAGGUGGGGAUGACGUCAAGUCCUCAUGGCCCUUACGCGCUGGGCUACACACGUGCUACAAUGGCGGUGACAGUGGGCAGCAAUCUCGCAAGGGUGAGCUAAUCUCCAAAAGCCGUCUCAGUUCGGAUUGUUCUCUGCAACUCGAGAGCAUGAAGGCGGAAUCGCUAGUAAUCGCGGAUCAGCAUGCCGCGGUGAAUACGUUCCCAGGCCUUGUACACACCGCCCGUCACACCAUGGGAGUUGGAUUCACCCGAAGGCAGUGCGCUAACCGCAAGGAGGCAGCUGACCACGGUGGGUUCAGCGACUGGGGUGAAGUCGUAACAAGGUAACCA
RNAcentral lists this ribosomal RNA (732 nucleotides) under uncultured Sphingomonas sp. Its description in RNAcentral is "bacterial SSU rRNA". It matches the Rfam family "Bacterial small subunit ribosomal RNA", at positions 770 to 1502 of the family's 1533-position model. The record is from RNAcentral. Lineage: Bacteria; Pseudomonadati; Pseudomonadota; Alphaproteobacteria; Sphingomonadales; Sphingomonadaceae.